CCUACGGGGAGCUGCAGUGAGGAAUAUUGGUCAAUGGCCGGAAGGCUGAACCAGCCAUGCCGCGUGAAGGUCAGUGCCCUAUGGGCGUUAAACUUCUUUUGUGCGGGAGCAAUAAUGGUCACGUGUGGCCAGACGAGAGUACCGUACGAAUAAGCAUCGGCUAACUCCGUCCCAGCAGCCGCGGGAAUACGGGAAUGCAAGCGUUAUCCGGAUUUAUUGGGUGUAAAGGGUGCGUAGGCUGUGAGGUAAGUCAGCGGUGAAAUGCCCCCGCUCAACGGGGUGAAGUGCCAUUGAUACUGCCGUGCUUGAAGGCGGAUGACGUGGGAGGAAUGUGUGGUGUAGCGGUGAAAUGCAGAGAUAUCACACAGAACACCGAUUGCGAAGGCAUCUCACGAAUCCGCUAUUGACGCUGAUGCACGAAAGCGUGGGUAUCAAACAGGAUUAGAUACCCCAGUAGUC
RNAcentral lists this ribosomal RNA (459 nucleotides) under uncultured bacterium. RNAcentral describes it as "partial 16S ribosomal RNA". It matches the Rfam family "Bacterial small subunit ribosomal RNA", at positions 338 to 795 of the family's 1533-position model. The record is from RNAcentral.